UUCAUGAUGACACAAUGAUGGGUGUUUCCCCAAACAUGGGCAUUCCUGGCCUUUGCUUUUAUAAGCUCUGACUUCACUCUUUCUUCCAAGGGCCACCUCACUCUUGCCUUAUUGCCUGCUUCUUCAUGACUCUCUACCUCUCUAUCUUAGGCUUCGACCACUUUGAUAUUAACUAUAUUUUCUCCUUUUCUGAAUUCUUGAUGCUCUGGCAUUUGCGGGCUAACUGACUGGGGAAAGACUGCCUCUCCUAGGGCUAGCCAUUUCUUAGAGACAGCAAACAAUCCUCUGGGAAGUGUGCCUUUCAUAUGUGAACUAACCAGUCCAGAGCCUUUAGUCUAAACCACCUUCUCUACAUAGCUUUUAUAUUCCAGGAGGCAAUAUUUUUCGAAUCAUCCCAGGCUCAGAUACUGGACAACUUAGCGACCACCCCUCUGUCCCAGAGCCUGCCAAAAUCCUUCAAAGUAUCCAAUCCUAACCCUGCUCAAGUGCUCACCCUGCCUCGUCGUGGAACCACAGUAAAGGCUUUUGCCUACUCUGUCCUCUUCAUCCUUCUUCCUCUUGACCAACCCUGGUGCUUUUCCACACGGCCCCGCCUGGUUUGGCAUGACCCUCUUGGGAACUAUUCAAUAAAUGUUAUGAUUUCUAGUGAUUAUCUACAACUUCCAAAAUCAUACCAACCAUAAUAACACUAUCAAGAAUCCUCAGUCUAUCAAAACAGGACUCCAACUUACACAGGGCCAAAGCUCAGGCUCUCCCAUACACUACCCCAAUUCAUUCAAUAAGUUUACUAUACGUCUUCAGGAUGCCAGGUACUGAGGAUACAAAGAUGAAAAAGAAAAGGUCUCUGUCCUCCAAAUCCGUAAGUCUAGGUGUAUUAACAUGAAAAGAAACAUUUGAGAUUGCUUCAAGAAGAUCAUGCCACAGAGAGGCAAAGGAACACAGUGAUGGCUAUGAUUUGGAAUCCACAAACCACAUCUUCAUCAAAGCCAUAAAUCAUAUAUUUUACCUUGGGACAAUGAAUUCCAACUGUCUGGAAUAAUUUUAAAACACAGUAUAUGAGGUGUGAUUAUAUAUGUAAAGAUACCCCCCAAAACACCUAAACUUAAUUAAAUGAAUAUUAUCUUUCAAAGUGUUUCCCUUGGGAGGUAGUAGUCAAAUGAAUUGUGCCUCUGUUUACAAUAUCUGAGUCAAUUGUCAGUUUAUUCUAAUGUUGACUAUGAUAAAUCUGAGCUUAAUUCAGGAUCUUGGCACAGACUGGGAGAUGCAAAGAACCUUAGAGGAACAAACACAACAGGAUGUGGU
This 1302-nucleotide long non-coding RNA is filed under the name Homo sapiens (human). RNAcentral describes it as "HSALNT0327505". The record is from RNAcentral. Lineage: Eukaryota; Metazoa; Chordata; Mammalia; Primates; Hominidae.